AGUGAACGCUGGCGGUAGGCCUAACACAUGCAAGUCGAACGGCAGCACAGGAGAGCUUGCUCUCUGGGUGGCAAGUGGCGGACGGGUGAGGAAUACAUCGGAAUCUACUCUGUCGUGGGGGAUAACGUAGGGAAACUUACGCUAAUACCGCAUACGACCUACGGGUGAAAGCAGGGGACCUUCGGGCCUUGCGCGAUUGAAUGAGCCGAUGUCGGAUUAGCUAGUUGGCGGGGUAAAGGCCCACCAAGGCGACGAUCCGUAGCUGGUCUGAGAGGAUGAUCAGCCACACUGGAACUGAGACACGGUCCAGACUCCUACGGGAGGCAGCAGUGGGGAAUAUUGGACAAUGGGCGCAAGCCUGAUCCAGCCAUACCGCGUGGGUGAAGAAGGCCUUCGGGUUGUAAAGCCCUUUUGUUGGGAAAGAAAUCCAGCUGGCUAAUACCCGGUUGGGAUGACGGUACCCAAAGAAUAAGCACCGGCUAACUACGUGCCAGCCGCCGCCGUAA
RNAcentral lists this ribosomal RNA (506 nucleotides) under uncultured bacterium. Its description in RNAcentral is "partial 16S ribosomal RNA". It matches the Rfam family "Bacterial small subunit ribosomal RNA", at positions 29 to 523 of the family's 1533-position model. The record is from RNAcentral.